RNAcentral lists this long non-coding RNA (631 nucleotides) under Homo sapiens (human). Its description in RNAcentral is "HSALNT0139079". Lineage: Eukaryota; Metazoa; Chordata; Mammalia; Primates; Hominidae. The record is from RNAcentral.
AACUCCUUGAGUAUGCCAUGAUUCUCAGAACUUUGCAAAAGUUACUUCCCUCUGCUAAGGAGGGCCCACCCCUUCUUUAUCUAACUUGUCCUUCAAGAUUCAGCUUCAAUGCUACUGCUUUCAGAAAGCCUUCUUGGACAAUUUAAUUUGAUGAAACAGACACUGAGACAAGUCAGUUUUUUCGGAGAUGGUGGCAGGAAGCAGAAGUGAAGGAGCAAGAAAAGUGAAACAGGGAAAGGAGGAAAGCCACACAUUGGAAGUCAAUGUCAAGGAGCAGAUCAUCACAGGAAGCAAGUGUGGCUCAGUCCUGCUGGGAUCCCCUGAGUAAUCAAAUAGAACAUUGUUCAGAACAGUCCCAGUUGGGUGUUUAUCCAUCAACCCACAUCCUUCCUUAAUUGAAGAUUACCCUUGGUUGCAGAGAUAAACAAGAGAACCCUCAAAAUUGAAGCAAACAGACCUCAGUGUGAAAGCAACUGGCUUGAAUGGGAACUGUCAGUUGUAGAUGCAGAUAGACUCAAAGGUAGGCCAGAGUGAUAUGUAACAUGGUAUUCAACAUCAUCUGCUUUACUUUCCUUGAAAAAAAAAAUAAAGAAAUCCAUAAAUGAAGCCACUUAUACAAAUACAUCGAAGC